AUCACACCUCAUGUAGCCUAGCCCAUAGGCCUAUAUGUUUUAAUAAGGUUAGUAUCACACCUCAUGUAGCCUAGUCCAUAGGUCUAUAUGUUUUGAUAAGGUUAGUAUCACACCUCAUGUAGCCUAGUCCAUAGGCCUAUAUGUUUUAAUAAGGUUAGUAUCACACCUCAUGUAGCCUAGUCCAUAGGUCUAUAUGUUUUAAUAAGGUUAGUAUCACACCUCAUGUAGCCUAGUCCAUAGGUCUAUAUGUUUUAAUAAGGUUAGUAUCACACCUCAUGUAGCCUAGCCCAUAGGUCUAUAUGUUUUAAUAAGGUUAGUAUCACACCUCAUGUAGCCUAGUCCAUAGGUCUAUAUGUUUUAAUAAGGUUAGUAUCACACCUCAUGUAGCCUAGCCCAUAGGUCUAUAUGUUUUGAUAAGGUUAGUAUCACACCUCAUGUAGCCUAGUCCAUAGGUCUAUAUGUUUUGAUAAGGUUAGUAUCACACCUCAUGUAGCCUAGUCCAUAGGCCUAUAUGUUUUAAUAAGGUUAGUAUCACACCUCAUGUAGCCUAGCCCAUAGGUCUAUAUGUUUUGAUAAGGUUAGUAUCACACCUCAUGUAGCCUAGUCCAUAGGUCUAUAUGUUUUGAUAAGGUUAGUAUCACACCUCAUGUAGCCUAGUCCAUAGGCCUAUAUGUUUUAAUAAGGUUAGUAUCACACCUCAUGUAGCCUAGCCCAUAGG
Oncorhynchus keta (chum salmon) is the source of this 718-nucleotide long non-coding RNA. RefSeq lists it as uncharacterized. Lineage: Eukaryota; Metazoa; Chordata; Actinopteri; Salmoniformes; Salmonidae. The record is from RefSeq and is a predicted model, not a curated record. The transcript is spliced from 4 exons.